RNAcentral lists this long non-coding RNA (229 nucleotides) under Setaria viridis. Its description in RNAcentral is "long non-coding RNA (SVIR_LNC004668)". Lineage: Eukaryota; Viridiplantae; Streptophyta; Magnoliopsida; Poales; Poaceae. The record is from RNAcentral.
GGUAAAGACCUAUCGAACCUAGCAUAUAUAAAGCAGUAAAAGCAUGCAGAGUCUACCAGCCGAUACGAUCUGAUAAUUGUGAACGUUUAAAUAAGGCAAGGGAGUCGAUGAACACAACCUAACCAGAUUUAAGCCAUUCGAUAACUGUGAGCAAUGUCGAAGAUAAGCAGAAUAUUGGACAAAGCCUAGAAAAUUCUACUUGCAAUCUAAGAAUACUCGAUAACUAGCC